AUUGAACGCUGGCGGCAGGCCUAACACAUGCAAGUCGAGCGGAUGAAGGGAGCUUGCUCCUGGAUUCAGCGGCGGACGGGUGAGUAAUGCCUAGGAAUCUGCCUGGUAGUGGGGGAUAACGUCCGGAAGCGGGCGCUAAUACCGCAUACGUCCUGAGGGAGAAAGUGGGGGAUCUUCGGACCUCACGCUAUCAGAUGAGCCUAGGUCGGAUUAGCUAGUUGGUGGGGUAAAGGCCUACCAAGGCGACGAUCCGUAACUGGUCUGAGAGGAUGAUCAGUCACACUGGAACUGAGACACGGUCCAGACUCCUACGGGAGGCAGCAGUGGGGAAUAUUGGACAAUGGGCGAAAGCCUGAUCCAGCCAUGCCGCGUGUGUGAAGAAGGUCUUCGGAUUGUAAAGCACUUUAAGUUGGGAGGAAGGGCAGUAAGUUAAUACCUUGCUGUUUUGACGUUACCAAUAGAAUAAGCACCGGCUAACUUCGUG
This 484-nucleotide ribosomal RNA is filed under the name uncultured bacterium. RNAcentral describes it as "partial 16S ribosomal RNA". It matches the Rfam family "Bacterial small subunit ribosomal RNA", at positions 30 to 507 of the family's 1533-position model. The record is from RNAcentral.